UACGAAGGGGGCUAGCGUUGCUCGGAAUCACUGGGCGUAAAGCGCACGUAGGCGGCUUUCUAAGUCAGGGGUGAAAUCCUGGAGCUCAACUCCAGAACUGCCUUUGAUACUGGAGAGCUCGAGUCCGGAAGAGGUGAGUGGAACUCCGAGUGUAGAGGUGAAAUUCGUAGAUAUUCGGAAGAACACCAGUGGCGAAGGCGGCUCACUGGUCCGGUACUGACGCUGAUGUGCGAAAGCGUGGGGAUCAAACAGG
Molecule: ribosomal RNA, 253 nt
Filed under: uncultured bacterium
Lineage: Bacteria
Description: partial 16S ribosomal RNA
Rfam family: Bacterial small subunit ribosomal RNA
Source: RNAcentral